This 474-nucleotide long non-coding RNA is filed under the name Physcomitrium patens. RNAcentral's name for it is "long non-coding RNA (PPAT_LNC003496)". Lineage: Eukaryota; Viridiplantae; Streptophyta; Bryopsida; Funariales; Funariaceae. The record is from RNAcentral.
GAUUUUUAAAAAAAUAUUAGAUAGAACACAAAUGUCAUUUAAAUACAUCUCAAUUCAAUCUUAAUUUAAUUCUAGUUAAAAUCCUAUUCAACUUCAUUCAAACUUAAGACCAAAACUAAUUAAAUCUUAAAUCCUAAUAAAAUCCUAAAUCCUAAAUCAAAUCCCAACCAAGUCCUAAACCAAAUCAUAACCAAACCCUAAAUCAAAUCCUAAACCCUAAAUCAAACCCUAAUCAAAUCCUAAUCCAAAUCCUAAACCCUAAACCAAAUCCUAAUCCAAAUCUUAAACUCUAAAUCAAAUCCUAACCAAUCCCUAAACCAAACCCUAAUCCAAAUCCUAAAUCCUAAAUCAAACCCUAAUCAAAUCCUAAACCCUAAAUCAAAUCCUAAUCCAAACCCUAAUCAAAUCUUAAACCAAAUCCUAACCAAAUCCUAACCAAAUCCUAACCAAAUCCUAAACCAAAUCCUAACCAAA